GGUCAGAGCAAUUUUCCCAUAAUUCUUACCUUUCCUCUGUGAUCUCGCGAUGCUUCCUGUCAUUCUAGACGAAACUGCCGAAUUGCGUUCUAACUGAAUGAGAACAGUAUGUUCGUUUGUUUUAGAACUCAAUUCGGCACUUUGUUCUUAUUGGAAUUUCACUCAAAUGAAUGAAACUCCGAUUCAAUUUGUGCCGCGGCUACAUCUUGCAGCUUCUUAGUAG
This is a non-coding RNA of Pelobates cultripes (western spadefoot toad), 223 nucleotides long. The record is from the annotation of a GenBank genome assembly. NCBI's taxonomy places the organism in Eukaryota, Metazoa, Chordata, Amphibia, Anura, Pelobatidae.